This 483-nucleotide ribosomal RNA is filed under the name uncultured bacterium. RNAcentral's name for it is "partial 16S ribosomal RNA". It matches the Rfam family "Bacterial small subunit ribosomal RNA", at positions 28 to 523 of the family's 1533-position model. The record is from RNAcentral.
GACGAACGCUGGCGGCGUGCUUAACACAUGCAAGUCGAACGAUGAAGCUGGAGCUUGCUCCGGCGGACUAGUGGCGAACGGGUGCGUAAGACGUGAGCAAUCUGCCCUGCACUCUGGGAUAACUGCGGGAAACUGUAGCUAAUACCGGAUACGAAGCCUUGGGGCAUCCCGGGGCUUGGAAAGACUUCCGGUGAAGGAUGAGCUCGCGGCCUAUCAGCUAGUUGGUGAGGUAAUGGCUCACCAAGGCGACGACGGGUAGCCGGCCUGAGAGGGUGACCGGCAACACUGGGACAGAGACACGGCCCAGACUCCUACGGGAGGCAGCAGUGGGGAAUAUUGCACAAUGGGCGAAAGCCUGAUGCAGCAACGCCGCGUGAGGGAUGAAGGCCUUCGGGUUGUAAACCUCUUUUAGUAGGGAAGAAGCGAAAGUGACGGUACCUACAGAAAAAGCACCGGCUAACUACGUGCCAGCCGCCGCCGUAA